UAUAUAAACUGUGUUUUGGAACUAGUAGGUGUGCUCUCCUGCUUGUGGGGCGCCCGCCAUUGCAAUCGCGAACAAAUUACUACUUCACUGAGAUCCUCGCCUGAGCCUAAGUUAUUGGCUACGGAGUUUCUCACACUGUUGACCCAGAACCAGGGAAAAGAGAAAACCCAUUGCCUGAUGAUGAUAUAAACAAAAGAAUAUCCAAAAUUGAUACCAAUUUGGCAAGUAUUGACUUGAUUGGAAAGGAAAACACGAAUCAAUACCAUGAAAAAGGAGAUGGGGGAUUGUGAAAUAUGUUCUUCUGAUUCAUGUUAAUAUGGAACAAUGCUAGGGCCUCAUAAUGAAAUGUGACCUUCUGUCUUACAUCCCCUUGUAUAAAUAACCACAAGUCCAAGAGAAACAGAGUGGUUAGUGUAUAUAGUUCUUGUAUCUUGCCAAAGAGUGGUCUAGCAGUUCGUGUUGAUAGAGGGUUUGAAGGGUAAACCUUGAUACUCGCGUCUGGGAGAUAAGAGAAUAGGGGAGAGUUUUUUGAGAUAAUUGCUGACUAUUGCACGAGACACAACUUUCUGACAUCUGGCCCAGAGGCUACUAAAUAAGGAGGGGGGGGGAAGGUGAAGAACGACCGAAGGACAAAGCCUGGGAGGGAAGACUACGAGCCUUCAGUACGAGACCACCGGAGACUGAUACGUAUGCAUCCGUGGGAUGGUUUGGGUCCCGGGAAACUGAUUAUAAUAACCCUGCCUUUUCCAAAAGUGGUGAUGAAUAUGUAUUAGCCUAGGAGCAUAAAAACCAGCCGCCUGAUGUAACUGGUGUGCGUCUUGGUGGAGCAGAGACUCCCAGCGCACCCAGCGCUGUUUGCUUACCUCUAUUCCUUUAAUAAAUUGUAAACUUUGAUUGUAACCCUAUUCGGGACUCAGUCAUUUAUAACAAUAUACAGUAGCAUGUUUGUCUCUAAUACUUACAAGGCGAAGUUCUGAGAUCAUAUUUCACAGACUGCUUCCUACAGAUUUCAAGAAAUCUAUUUGUUCUGAAGUAUAGCCAUGCUCUAUUACUAUCUAAAGGGAACAAACUGUUUUGAAACCCAUUACAGAUUGGAUUUUUUUUAUUUAUUUAAAUAAGCUUGUCUCUGCAGCUUUCCUUUGUGAUGCUGAUCUUCGGAGAGGCAGAUUCUUAACAAGAUACAAUCAAACUGCAUUUUAUUGUCUAGUUUUGUAUGUUAAAGACUCACAGUAUCUGGGUACAGCAAGGUUCCUAGAUACACUAAAUGACAAGAAUCUUUCUGAAGUAUUCCUUAUUUUUUCAGUGUUCUUUUCAAAUUGUGGACAGCAGGAUGAGGUAGAAUAUCAAACAUGGUGACUGUUUUUUACCCAGAGGACGCUAGUAGGGAAAAGGAGUUGGUCUGAGUUGACCUUGACAUGCUUAAGGGGUUGGCACAUGAGAACCUUGUGAAGUUCAAGAAGGCUAAGUGCAAGGUUCAACACCGUCAUCAAGGCACUCCCAAGAAUGAAUGCAGGCUGGUUGAUGAGUGGAUUGGGAGCAGCCCUGCAGAGAAGGACUUGGGAGUGUUGACGGAUGAAAAGCUCUACAUGAGCCAGCGAUGUGCAGUUGCAAACCAGAAAGACAGCCGUAUCCUGAGCCACAUCAAAAGUAUGACCAGAAGGUCCAGGGAGGUGAUUCUCGCUCUCUACUCCACUCCUGUGAGGCCCCACCUGCAGUGCUGCAUUCAGCUCUGGGGACUCCAACAUAAGAAAUAAAUCUGUUAGAGCAGGUCCAGAGCAGGGCCAUGAAGUUGAUGAGGGCUGGAGGACCUCUCCUAUGAAGACAGGCUGAGAGAACUGGGGUUGCUUAGCCUAGAGAAGAGAGGGCUCUGAGGAGACCUUAUAGUGGCCCUCUAGUACCUAAAGCAGGCUUCGGGUAAGCUGGGGAGGGACGUUUUGUCAGGGAGUGUAAUGACAGGACAAGGAGUAAUGGCUUUAAACUAAAAGGGUAGAUUUAGAUUAGAUAAAAGGAAGAAAUUCUUUACUAUGGGUGGUGAGGCACUGGAACAGGCUGCUUGGUGAAGUUGUGACUGCCCCAUCCCUGGAAGUAUUUAAGGCCAAGUUGGAUGGGGCUUUGAGCAAUCUGGUCUAGUGGGAGGUAUCAUAGAAUCAUAGAAUGAUUUGUGCUGGAAGGGAACUUGAAGGUCAUCUACUCCCCCCUGCAAGGACAUAGGCAAGGACACCUUCUGGUUAUAAACGUAAAAUCAGUGUGAUAAAAUAAAAGGCUUCUGUAUAAGAGAGCACAAGUAAAAUGUUCGUCGUAGGAAGAGCUUAUUAGCUACUUCCAGCCAGAAUGAUUAGGGAUAAGAGUUCUUGCAUCUGAAAUAGUUUUAUACAGCUACCGAAUUUGUGCCAGAGCCUAUGUUCAGGGUUUCCUUUGACUUACUGCAGUCUCCCUUUGCCAGUAGUACCCUGAAGCUCAAGUUUGUUCCUGAAACAUUAAGAUACUUCAUUUCUGGAGUUACACGUUCUGACUCAGAAAAAAUUCUUGGUGCUGUAUAUUAAUAUUGAGUAAGUCAGCAGAAUGCAAAAUCCUGUUCUUACUCUAUUUUGCAGAUGUUAUUCUCCCAGAGGAGUCAGAUCACUUUGUUGUUGUUGUUGUUGUUUUAAUUCCCUUCUGACAGGUGUCUUCUUUGGCCAUAGCUAGUGGAAAUGGCUUGCUAAUAAAAGGAGGGAAAGAGGCAGCAUACAGCAAUCAAAUCCUUCAUCAUCUGACUCAAGAAGCACUCUCCAUUCAUGGAGUCAAAGAUGCAGUGCAAGUAGUAAGUGUCUAGAAUUAAAGCAACAACUUUUGUGCUGUAGCGUGUAGAAAAAGCACAGGCAGAGCUUGAGAAUUCAGGCCAUUGACUGUUUGUGUCACAACUUUCACAUGUGAAUACAAGCAAGGAAGUGGAAGAUCUCUGCCAUUUGGAGAAGCUGAUAGAUCUAAUCAUUCCACAUGGUUCAUCCCAGCUAGUCAGGAAUAUCCAGAAAGCUGCUAAGGGAAUUCCAGUGAUGGGACACAGUGAAGGGAUCUGUCAUGUGUAUGUGGACACAGAUGCCAGCGUGGAGAAGGCCACAUGAAUAAGUAAGCUGUGAGAGGGUGACUUGGAUACCAUGAGUGUAACUGAACUUCACAUUUGGAAUAUGUGGUAUGGUUAUAAUAAUAACCAUACGUAAUAAUAAUUCACAUGCUCUUCAAAUUCUUUGUCAUAAAUGUUAUGUAACCAAUUGUUUACUCUUAAACCUCAGUCAGAGACUGUGUGAAUAUACUGCUGCCUGUAAUGCUCGGGAAACACUCCUAAUUCACUGAGACCUGCUGAGAACCCUGUUGUUUGAUCAGAUCAUAGACAUGUUGAGAGUAGAACAGAAUACCCUGAGUUGCAAAGGACCCAUGAGGAUUACCAAGUUCAACCCCUAGCUCCACACAGGACCACCCAGAAAUCAGACCAUACAUCUUGGAGCAUUGCCCAAACACUUCUUGAACUCCAGCAGGCUCAGUGCUGUGACCACUGUCCUGGGAGCCUGUUCCAGUGCACAUCCACCUCUUGGUGCAGAACCUUUCCCUGACGUCUAGCCUGACCCUCCCCUGUCACAGCUCUAUGCCAUUCCCUUGGGUCCUGUCUCUGUCACCUGAGAGAAGAGAUCAGCACCUGCUCCUCCACUCCUCCCUCUCAUUGUUAAGGUGUCUUAGCUGCUACGAUUAAAUUCAGAGAUUGAUGAUGCAUUAGAUCUUCUUCAUCAGGAUCGUAAAAUAACUGAAAGUCCUUGCCUUGUUUUGGGCCCAGUAACUCUUUUGUGUCUGAAACAUACACUUUGGAGAGGGCUGGUGUCAGUUUACAAAAGAAAAGAAUAAAAACAGGUGAAGAUUCAUGCUGGCCCAAAGUUUGCCUCUUACUUGACAUUCAACCCCUCAGAAGUGAAAUCUCUCCACGAUGAAUAUGGGGAUCUGGAGAGCUGCAUUGAGGUUGUGGACAGUGUACAAGAGGCUGUCGAACAUAUCCACAAGUAUGGAAGUUCUCACCUGGAUGUUACUGUCACGGAGAAUGAGAAAACAGCGGAGUUCUUCCUCCAGCAUGUGGACAGUGCUUGGAAUGCCAGUAACCGAUUCUCUGAUGGAUAGAGAUUUGUACUCUGUGCUGAAGUUGGAAUUAGUACUUCUCGUAUCCAUGCAUGCGAACCAGUGGGAAUUGAAGGACUCUGAACUACAAAGCGGUUACCGAGAGGGGACAAUCAUGUUGUUUCUGACUUCUCAGAGCAUGGGAGCAUGAAGUAUCCCCAUGAAAGCCUACCUCUCCCUCAGAGAAAUACCGAGUACAUUGAGAAAACUCAUCAAUAAAAUGUUUAUUGAAGAC
Anas platyrhynchos (mallard) is the source of this 4372-nucleotide non-coding RNA. NCBI's taxonomy places the organism in Eukaryota, Metazoa, Chordata, Aves, Anseriformes, Anatidae. The record is from RefSeq and is a predicted model, not a curated record.